Molecule: long non-coding RNA, 464 nt
Organism: Armigeres subalbatus
Lineage: Eukaryota; Metazoa; Arthropoda; Insecta; Diptera; Culicidae
Exons: 3
Source: RefSeq, a predicted model, not a curated record
UGUGGAAUAGUUCUCUUUUGUAACUGUGAUCCAAGAACGAAAUAGUAGUGCGCGCGUGUUUAAGUUGUAAAAGGUUUAUUGUUUGAAUAAUUGUUGGUGAAGUUCUUUUUAAUUUUGUGUUGUUUCAUUUCUUAUGAUAGGAUCUGUUCGAUGUUAUCCGUUAAAAUAAUUAUUGUUACAUGUUAAAUAGUACGGAAUUGUGUUAGUUGAAAAUCAUUUAGAACGUUAAAACCCCAUUCAACACACCACGAAGAAAUAACGACAGUGACAAACAAAUAUAAACCAAUUAUAGAAAAAGGUCCACGACAAAGGGACCUUUUUCUGUUGUGUUUAUUCACAGUUUUCGACAGUGCAGUGCCGCGGUGGAAGUGCCCGUUGAUCCGGCCUUGAUCCCGCUAUUUUGGAUGCCGGAGAUUUUCGGUCCGAAACAGUGCCGCCAUUGUUUUAGGCACGCGGGAUCAUCA